UCUUCAGUGAGGUAUAUCCUUACCUGUUACUCCACUUGUGGAGUUGCAGAACAUGAUGAAUGGAGUUCAAUGAGAUAUGAUUAGUAUCUCCAGCUUGUUGGGACCGACAACUCCCUUCAAGACCCAUUCUGAU
Small nucleolar RNA from Nematolebias whitei (Rio pearlfish), 133 nucleotides. RefSeq annotates it as U8 small nucleolar RNA. Lineage: Eukaryota; Metazoa; Chordata; Actinopteri; Cyprinodontiformes; Rivulidae. The transcript has a single exon. The record is from RefSeq and is a predicted model, not a curated record.